This 261-nucleotide signal recognition particle RNA is filed under the name Actinomycetota bacterium. RNAcentral's name for it is "Actinobacteria bacterium (freshwater metagenome) signal recognition particle sRNA large type". It matches the Rfam family "Bacterial large signal recognition particle RNA". From Rfam's summary of the family: The signal recognition particle (SRP) is a universally conserved ribonucleoprotein involved in the co-translational targeting of proteins to membranes. Archaeal SRP consists of a 7S RNA and homologues of the eukaryotic SRP19 and SRP54 proteins. In most bacteria, the SRP consists of a 4.5S RNA and the Ffh protein (a homologue of the eukaryotic SRP54 protein). The record is from RNAcentral. Lineage: Bacteria; Bacillati; Actinomycetota.
UCGCGCUAGGUGGGGAGUCAGCGGUUCCCUGAACCCGAAAUCCGCUCCAGCGGGGCCGAAUGCCGUCCGAGGGCGGUGGUGUCGGGCAGGUCUGCGCACGUGGUGUUGACAGGUCGGGUCCCGCGCACGGGGAGCGUUCGAACCGCGUCAGGUCCGGAAGGAAGCAGCGCUAAGGACUCCCUCUCCGGUGUGUCGGUUCCGCCCGAUCCGAGCCGGCGACGCGGGAGCCGCCGGUAUCGCUUGUUCGACGACGGAGCGCGC